CGCCUACUAAUUAAAUAGUAGGUAGAUUCUGCCCAAUGAUACUUAAAUGGCCGCAGUAUUCUAACUGUGCUAAGGUAGCAUAAUAACUUGUCCUUUAAUUGAGGGCUGGAAUGAAUGAACUGACGAAGAGUAAAUUGUCUCUGUAAAUAAACAAUAAAUUUAUAUCUAUGUAAAAAAGCCUAGAUAAUGUAAGGGGACGAUAAGACCCUAGAAGCUUUACCCUUAAAGCUUUUUAAAAUACUUAAUUCAAAAGACUAGUUGGGUUUUUACUGGGGCGGUAAUUCUUUUAACAAGAGUUUUUAAAACACUCUGAGUGAAUUCACUUAACUUAUCUAUAAAAUAAAACUAAGUUACUCUAGGGAUAACAGCGUAAUUCUCUGCUAGAGCUCUUAUCGACCAGAGAGUUUGCGACCUCGAUGUUGAAUUGAAAUCCUACUUAGAGCAGCAUCUAAGUAAAGGAAGACUGUUCGUCUGUUAAAUCUUCACA
Molecule: ribosomal RNA, 487 nt
Filed under: Ligia perkinsi
Lineage: Eukaryota; Metazoa; Arthropoda; Malacostraca; Isopoda; Ligiidae
Description: partial 16S ribosomal RNA
Rfam family: Bacterial large subunit ribosomal RNA
Source: RNAcentral